Molecule: long non-coding RNA, 162 nt
Organism: Trichosurus vulpecula (common brushtail)
Lineage: Eukaryota; Metazoa; Chordata; Mammalia; Diprotodontia; Phalangeridae
Exons: 3
Source: RefSeq, a predicted model, not a curated record
GAGGGGUGCCCCGGUCCUUGGUCCCCAGCUUCUGGCCGCUUCGGGCCUCCAGUCCAGCUGAUUCGUGAGAUAACUUCCACAGAUACGGUAUCCAUUUUGCAGAUGAGGCACACAAUUUCAGGUGGGCCUGGGGCCAGAAGCAGCAGCAACUGUAGCUGCCCC